GAUGAAGAACGUAGCGAAAUGCGAUAAGUAAUGUGAAUUGCAGAAUUCAGUGAAUCAUCGAAUCUUUGAACGCACCUUGCACUCCUUGGUAUUCCGAGGAGUACGCCUGUUCGAGUGUUAUGAAGCUCUCAAAACGCAAUUGGCUUAAAACCUGAUUGUUGUUUUGGAUUUGAACUUUGCCGUGUUAUAACGGCUGGUUUUAAAAGUAUUAGCUGGUACUAGAACGAAUUGGUUCUACUCAACGUGAUAAUUAUCUGAUCGUUGAGGACAUUCCUUUCACGAGGAAUGGCCAUAGUAAAUUCAAUGGACUGCUUCUAAUCUGGCUUUAAUUCUUUAUUGGAUUAACCACUUUUCAAAUCCGACCUCGAAUCAGGUGGGACUACCCGCUGAACUUAAGCAUAUCAAUAAGCGGAGGA
Molecule: unclassified non-coding RNA, 416 nt
Filed under: soil metagenome
Description: partial contains 5.8S ribosomal RNA, internal transcribed spacer 2, and large subunit ribosomal RNA
Rfam family: 5.8S ribosomal RNA (bases 1-120)
Source: RNAcentral